RNAcentral lists this ribosomal RNA (207 nucleotides) under Rhinolithodes wosnessenskii. RNAcentral describes it as "partial 12S ribosomal RNA". The record is from RNAcentral. Lineage: Eukaryota; Metazoa; Arthropoda; Malacostraca; Decapoda; Lithodidae.
CUGACUAAAAUUUGUGCCAGCAGUCGCGGUUAUACUUAAAGGGUAAAUAAAUACAAUUUGGUGUUAUAGUAAAUUAUUAGUUAAAUAAAACUUAUUAUUUUUUUUAAAGGGUGAAAUCGGAAUUUAAUUAUAAUAAUAAUUYUAAAUAAAGACAAAAAUAAACUAUAAAUUUUAAUAUAUAAACUAGGAUUAGAUACCCUAUUAUAC